UACUCGUUUAUCUAUCAUAUUCAUAUGUUUAUUAGUUCUCACGACGAUAGAAUCUAAAUCAUCAUUAGUAUAGAAAAUCAUAUCUUGAAGACCAAAGUAUAUCUACAUAUACAUUUUUGCAGCCAUUUUGUGAAAUAAAUCAUGGAGUUGUAACUUAUUUACAAUGGCUGCCACUAGCUUAUUCAAUGCAAAAAUUAACUACAAAAUCAAAGCAAAUCUUAUUCAAAGGAAUAUGCUCUUAUUCUAUGGCCUAAUUAU
This 258-nucleotide small RNA is filed under the name Arabidopsis thaliana (thale cress). RNAcentral describes it as "ATSL143370". The record is from RNAcentral. Lineage: Eukaryota; Viridiplantae; Streptophyta; Magnoliopsida; Brassicales; Brassicaceae.